GAUGAAGAACGUAGCGAAAUGCGAUAAGUAAUGUGAAUUGCAGAAUUCAGUGAACCAUCGAAUCUUUGAACGCACAUUGCGCCCCCUGGUAUUCCGGGGGGCAUGCCUGUCCGAGCGUCAUUACAACCCUCAAGCUCAGCUUGGUAUUGGGCCCCGCCGACCCGGCGGGCCCUAAAGUCAGUGGCGGUGCCGUCCGGCUCCGAGCGUAGUAAUUCUUCUCGCUCUGGAGGUCCGGUCGUGUGCUCGCCAGCAACCCCCAAUUUUUUUCAGGUUGACCUCGGAUCAGGUAGGGAUACCCGCUGAACUUAAGCAUAUCAAUAAGCGGAGGA
This 329-nucleotide unclassified non-coding RNA is filed under the name soil metagenome. RNAcentral's name for it is "partial contains 5.8S ribosomal RNA, internal transcribed spacer 2, and large subunit ribosomal RNA". The stretch from base 1 to 120 matches the Rfam family "5.8S ribosomal RNA", at positions 35 to 154 of the family's 154-position model. The record is from RNAcentral.